Lytechinus variegatus (green sea urchin) is the source of this 830-nucleotide long non-coding RNA. RefSeq lists it as uncharacterized. The transcript is spliced from 3 exons. The record is from RefSeq and is a predicted model, not a curated record. NCBI's taxonomy places the organism in Eukaryota, Metazoa, Echinodermata, Echinoidea, Temnopleuroida, Toxopneustidae.
CAUAGGAAGACCACAGCAUGGAUUAAGAGACAGGAAGAAUCCAUUUGAAUGCUACAAGGAUGAACCUUUCAGAGUGGGCUACCAACAGAGAGAAACGACACAUUGCCUGACAUGUUACAUGUUUUGACAGGACUUUGUUUUUAUGCCAUUGGUACCUUUUAGAAGAUGCAAGCAGACAAAGCAACUAUAUCAUAGUCAUCCGUGUGCAGAAUCAUCAAAGAUUUUUCUGAGGCAAUGGCAAGGAGUAACAGUUAAUGAAGUGUCCGAUGACGAGAAAUUCAAACCACCCAGCGACAAUUUGAUGAUUGCUACAGGUUUCCAAGAGUCGUAGGUGCUAUCGAUUGGGGCCAUGUCUACAUCAGGAGUCCUGUUGGGGAACAAGCCCUGUACUUAGCAGGAAGAACAGGUCUUCUGUAAAUGUAUAGGUAUCCGUUGCUCCUCUCUUUGAUGAAUUCCUGCCUGCAUUCUGUUGUCAAUAGAAAAGGACCAUGUGCUUCGGGUAUUAAGCAUUCCAUUGGAUUAUCUGUGUAUGAAAGUGGACACUUGUGAUCACAAAAUGGUAGCUUAGUUGAUAGGAUGUAUUCAUGCAUUCCGAUUUAUCAUUAGUGAUCAAAUGACCAUCUUGCUUUUAAAAACCCAAAUUCACAACAUUUUUCUUGUUUGACAAAAGGUUUGGGAUGUGAAUUCCAGGAAAUAAAUGACACACACGAUGGGCUAAUGUAUAAGCAGGGAUGUGAGAGGUAUAAGCAACAUUUUGCUCAUGCUUAACUAAGUUUGGCAUGAGAUGGUCUUGGUCAUUCUUAUGAUUCAAGUCUAUUUUUAUACCAUUU